Molecule: ribosomal RNA, 254 nt
Filed under: uncultured bacterium
Lineage: Bacteria
Description: partial 16S ribosomal RNA
Rfam family: Bacterial small subunit ribosomal RNA
Source: RNAcentral
UACGAAGGGGGGCUAGCGUUGCUCGGAAUCACUGGGCGUAAAGGGUGCGUAGGCGGGUCUUUAAGCCAGGGGUGAAAUCCUGGAGCUCAACUCCAGAACUGCCUUUGAUACUGAAGAUCUUGAGUUCGGGAGAGGUGAGUGGAACUGCGAGUGUAGAGGUGAAAUUCGUAGAUAUUCGCAAGAACACCAGUGGCGAAGGCGGCUCACUGGCCCGAUACUGACGCUGAGGCACGAAAGCGUGGGGAGCAAACAGG